This is an RNA transcript of Oryza sativa Japonica Group (Japanese rice), 2904 nucleotides long. RefSeq lists it as uncharacterized. The record is from RefSeq and is a predicted model, not a curated record. Lineage: Eukaryota; Viridiplantae; Streptophyta; Magnoliopsida; Poales; Poaceae.
AAUAGUCUACAUUCAAUAUUUAUAAUUAGUGUCCAAACAUCCGAUGUGAUAAGGACUUAAAGUUUUAGUCCCAUCUAAACAGGGUCUAAAGUUAUAUGCUCUUCUCGAUUUCUAUGUAGCUUAUAAGACGCUACAGAAUUUUACAACUUGAUUUGAUGUUUUUUUCCAUCGAAGUUGUUUUCUUUCAAUUUCUUGUGUUUUUCCUAUGAUCCGUUCAAACGGUGAUUCUUGUUUUUUUUUUUUGCGGUUCUCUGUUUACCCUUAUAUUUCUAUUAAAAUCAUAGUACACAUGUCUCAAAAUAUAAAAGUCUAAUUCUUUCGUUCUAUAAAAUACUAAUCAGGACAUAAUGUGACACAUCAUAGUACUACUACGUGGACAUGAGGUUGUCGAUAUUCAAGUAGAAUAUGCCACACUGUGUAUUUGAUUGGUUUUUUAUGAAAGAGAAAGAUUAGUAUUGGAUGGGAUAUAUAUUAGUAUAAUGAAUCUAGAUAGCAAGUCUAUUUAGUUUCGUAGUAUGAUAUAUUUUAUCUAGUGCUAGGCUAUUACUCCGUAUAUUAUAAAAUGGAAGAAGUAUGCUUUUCCUAUCUAUCUGUUUUCUUAAUCUGCUUUUCACGUAGACCAUCAAUUUUUUUGAAACAAGUAGACCAUCAAUUUUGGUUACAUGCGAGGUUGCCAAAUGGCAACGAACAAAUAAAGAGCAUGUCUCUGCAUUUCAUUUUGGCCAUUAGUUUGGCGGCCUUAAGCUGAUAAGCCGUAAAAAUACCUUAUUAGUAAUAAAAACUAAUUUCUAAGGAAAACUUUAUAUUUAUACCUAAGCAAUUUUAAACUGAAAAAUAAACUACUCUCGACAAUUUUAAAUUAAAAUUUCGACAGCAGAAAAUCGGAGGCAUUUGCAUGGCCUAGCAACCAGGUCAGUAGCAGCCACGCACGUACCACCGGUUCAUCACCCGACCAGUCAAAUCAGGGCGUUAUUUUCAUGAUCCAAAUGCAGACAACGGAUUGAUCGGUCGUGUCGCGUCGUGCAACAGAGCAAAGACGACGUGGAUGCUCCAAGUCGUGAGACGUUUCCCAGCCAGAAAAAAACUCGCUACUCUCCUUGACGCAGAAAGGGCCAAAAUUCUGCUUGAUAUGCGUAAUUUCCUCGGAACUCAUAUAAUACUUGUGUGUGGUAAGAACAGUGUAUGUCUCCAUCAGGCCAUAGUUCGUUUUCAGGACAAAAUGCAUCUCGCUAUCUCCUCGGUGGAAUGGCGCAUACUGGGGGUGUAUAAUCAUGCAGACUGCAGACACCUUUGAAGCUGUCCUGUGUCGGCAGCGUUGCGUCGGAUUGGAUAGGCCCUCGAAUUGUUCGACAACGACCUUGCUCCCCUUCCUUCAGGCCCAUUCUCUCGUGAAAGCAAACGUCGGAUUCGAACAGGAUCUACUAAUAAAGGAAAAAGUACACCGAAGAUACCUCAACUUAACUUGUCAUCGGGUUACAAAAUUGUCCCCCAACCACAACGUCCCUCAACUAACUAAACCGAACGGUUUCGUUUGAGAUUUUUUUUUGGUGGUUUUGAUUUCGGUUUUGUCCGACGUGGCGCUGAGUAGCGUGAAACUCAUAUGGACCCACAUGUCAGCGUGGCCACAUCAUCAUUAUCUCCCUUUUCCUCUCCCCUCUCCCUUCCUCAUCUCUCUCUCCAUCCUCUGCGAGGCCGUAGUGCGAGGCGGGACGGGAGAGGAGGGCGUCGGCAGCCGGCGACUGGCGACGCGACGGCGGUGAUGGCGGCUACUGGCGACGCGGCGGCGGUGGGGGAGGAGCUGCGGGCGGGCGGCCGGGGAGGGACGGCGCGCGGGCUCACCCGCCGGCAGCCGCCCACGAGGCGGCAGCGAGGGGAGGAGCUGCAGACGGGCUGCGGGGAAGGGGUGGCGCGCGGCCGGUAGAGAAGCAGCGUGCGGGCGGCCGGGGAGGAGCGGCGCUGUCGGCGACUCCCACUCUCAGAUCCCCCUCGCUCUUUCUCUCUCUCACCAGGGUCCAGGGGCGCUGUCGGCGGCGCGGUGGCGCCACAGUGUCAGCAAGAAACAAACAUAUGCAAAUCCAAUCUGAUGGGAGGAGCAUAGCAACCGAUGCCGAGCAGCAAGCAGAACGGAGAAAGCCGCAACGGGUGUACCUUGGGGAGCGAGCAGAAGGAAGGAUUUGGCAGGGUCGAUGCCGGAGAGCCGACGCGCGGCGAGAGCUGACGCAGCGCAGACUGCAGAGAGAGCACGUGCGGCGGCGGCGGCGGCGGUGGCGGCGUCGAGGUCAACGGCCGCUUGCCGCAAGGUGUUCAGCGACGCCGAGCUGAUAGCCGUGCAGCAGCAGGCGCCGCUCGUGGGUGCAAUGCAACUGGUGGACGGCAUCAAGAUGCUGCUCAACGACUACUGGCCUGCGGCGGCGGCGGUCGCCGGGAACGGGAUGGCGGCAGCGCCCUCUUCGACGAGGCUCUCGGCCGACCACUACGUGCUGAGAAAAGUGAGAGAUGAGGAAGGGAGAGAAGAGAGGAAAAGAGAGGAUGCUGACGUGGCCACACUGACAUGUGGGGCCCACGUGGAUCCCACGCUAAGUCAGCUGCCACAUCGGAUAAAACCGGAGUCAAAACCACUAAGAGCAAGUGUUAUGGUAGAUGUGACUACCACAUCUAAAUUUAUCCGUACUUAGGUGUCAUUCGAACCUACUAGGAUGAACAUUUAGAAAAGAAAAUAUUAACGUGUGAUUAAUUGGGUUUUAACUAUUUUAGACUUGGAAAUGAAUUUAUUGAGAUUUUAAACCAACUUCUACAUAGAAAUUUUUCGUUUGAAAUACACCGUUUAGCGAUUCGAAGAGCAUGCUAAUAAAAUAAUCUGAGAUAAAAUCUUAUCCAGAGACUUUUUUCCGGUGAGAAUAGAAU